GGGCUACGACUGAUUCGGGCUCGGCCCGAUCCUCCCACCCUUUGUGUACCUACCUCUGUUGCUUUGGCGGGCCGCGGUCCUCCGCGGCCGCCCCCCUCCCCGGGGGGUGGCCAGCGCCCGCCAGAGGACCAUCAAACUCCAGUCAGUAAACGAUGCAGUCUGAAAAACAUUUAAUAAACUAAAACUUUCAACAACGGAUCUCUUGGUUCUGGCAUCGAUGAAGAACGCAGCGAAAUGCGAUAAGUAAUGUGAAUUGCAGAAUUCAGUGAAUCAUCGAAUCUUUGAACGCACAUUGCGCCCUUUGGUAUUCCGAAGGGCAUGCCUGUUCGAGCGUCAUUACAACCCUCAAGCUCUGCUUGGUAUUGGGCACCGUCCUUUGCGGGCGCGCCUCAAAGACCUCGGCGGUGGCGUCUUGCCUCAAGCGUAGUAGAACAUACAUCUCGCUUCGGAGCGCAGGGCGUCGCCCGCCGGACGAACCUUCUGAACUUUUCUCAAGGUUGACCUCGGAUCAGGUAGGGAUACCCGCUGAACUUAAGCAUAUCAAAA
Molecule: ribosomal RNA, 546 nt
Filed under: Botryosphaeria dothidea
Lineage: Eukaryota; Fungi; Ascomycota; Dothideomycetes; Botryosphaeriales; Botryosphaeriaceae
Description: eukaryotic LSU rRNA
Rfam family: 5.8S ribosomal RNA (bases 183-336)
Source: RNAcentral